This 211-nucleotide ribosomal RNA is filed under the name uncultured archaeon. RNAcentral describes it as "partial 16S ribosomal RNA". It matches the Rfam family "Archaeal small subunit ribosomal RNA", at positions 462 to 673 of the family's 1478-position model. The record is from RNAcentral.
CAGCCACGGUAAUACCAGCUCCGCGAGUGGUCGGGGUGUUUACUGGGCUUAAAGCGCCCGUAGCCGGCCCGGUAAGUCGCUCCUGAAAUCCUCGGGCUCAACCCGAGGGCGGGGGGCGAUACUAGCCGGGCUAGGGGGCGGGAGAGGCCGAGGGUACUCCCGGGGUAGGGCGAAAUCCUAUAAUCCCGGGAGGACCACCAGUGGCGAAGGC